UAAAAUCAAUGAAAAGUACUUUAAAAAAUUGUAAAUUUCAUAUGUUGUGGUUACACUGAUCUUUUCUUUGAACAUUUCUGCUGUGAAAUUCUUUUUUUUAAUACAAUGAUUUAAUACCUGCAUUUGGAGACUUAAACUUCUUACAGAUGCUAAUUAAUUAAUUAGGCAAAUAGGUUUGAGGGUAGUUAUGAAGUAGUAAUUUCAGUUUGUGCUCUUCCAGUAACUCAGCAUGACUUUCACUCUCAUUUCUAGCAGAUAUUACAGUGAGAGAUGAGCAUUUCAGUUUGCAGCUGACAGUUUAGGGUUAAGAUAUGAUUCCAGGUAACAGAAGCCAAUGAGAGUACACCCAGUUGAUGUUUGUGACAUCAUCUUCCAGUCGGAGUACAUAGAACAGCUGAGGUAGCGUUCAGUUUCAGCCCCAGUGCCAUUAUGAUGGAUGUUUACAUCUCUUCAUUGAGAGCCAAUUAUCUCGCUUUUGUGUGAGGCCCAAGGAUCACUCAUGCUGCCUGGCUGCACAGAGCACUGUUGGAUCUAGCUGAACGAAUUGUUUUCUGUCUCUGGCCACAGGAUAGCUCAUAUUUGAAGAAGGCUAUUAAUUAUGGCUGCUGUAAUAAUACACCCAAAUGUUUAACAAGGUAAUACACAGCUUAAACUGCUUAUUUUCACAAAUUACAUUGAAGAUUUUCUUAAUAGUUGUGUUGUGUAGACUGAAAAAUAUUAAUUCUUAUGAGUCACCUUUCUAGUACUACUCUCUUACUUAUCAAUAAAUUACAACUACAUAGUUGAGAAUCUGGUAAGAUGAACCUCAAAAUCUGAAUAAUGAUAUGAAGCCAAUGAGAUCCAUUAAAUAGUUUAGCUCACUUUUCUGGAUGGUAUAAUCACAUUUUCUUUUGAAAGAACAUAUUUACCAUCAGCUGUCUGUAUCCUCAGACAGAUUUAAUUAACUGUGGAUUGACUAUAUUGGAAAAGGUUACAUCUGUACUGAAGAAGUGCAGAAUUUUGUUGUUUGUCAUUUCUUAAAGCAUUACAAUAACUACAUAGCAUUUAUAUUGCAUUAGGUAUUAUAAAUAAUGCAGAGAUAAUUUAUAGUAUACAGAAAGAUGUUUGGAACUAUCUACUAUUAUAUAGUAUUUCAAUAUCAGUAUCUAGACAAGGAAUUUGGUGCUCAUAGGGAGGCUUGGACCUAAAAUUUUACAGAUUUUGAGGUGUAAAAGUAUAAAUAUCAAACAAAUGUUGAAUUUAUUAGUAGCAAAAUACACCACUGUUGGUGAAGAUAUAUCACAUCAGGUAUUAUUUAAAGCUACUUGAAGAGAAAUAUAAUGGGCCGAGAGCAUGUCCAAAUGUAGGCAUAUGAAAUUAUGAAAUAAAUGGAAAACUCAGAUCCAAGAGCAUUAUAAAACAGGGACUGGACUAUAAAGACCAAAUUCCUGGGUAAAAAAAUGAAUUAGAAUUUAUUGACUUGGAAACAUAUUAUGUACCUUAUCAGUUCCUAGAUCCAGGUAUCCCAUACAUAUUAUUUUACUAUUUAUUACCAAACUAAAAGAUGGAUACCAUGCCCACAUAAACUGAGCCUCACAGAGAAUGAAGUAGCACUUGUACAAAGCAAAAGAGCUGGGAAUUGUUACGAUUGUUCUGUUUUUAACAGUGUGGCUCUUCCUGUACUCAUGACAGUAAUGGUGACAUCUAGAAAAAUUGAGAGAAAUCAUUAUAGAACCAAAAGAGGAAUAUUAGUUUGUGAUUAACCACAGUUUCAAUAGCUGAAGCAGAAAUAGUAACUGUAUUAAUAUUAGGAGACACGUGAUGGAAAUGAGAAAUAAGAUGGUAAUGAGAUAUGAUGGUAAUGGUAGGGUAGGAAGAAAAACAUAAUUUUGGGGCAGUGCUAAUUGCAUCACAAUGUAUUCAAACUAAAU
This is a long non-coding RNA of Heterocephalus glaber (naked mole-rat), 1910 nucleotides long. The record is from Ensembl. Lineage: Eukaryota; Metazoa; Chordata; Mammalia; Rodentia; Bathyergidae.